Molecule: ribosomal RNA, 850 nt
Filed under: uncultured bacterium
Lineage: Bacteria
Description: bacterial SSU rRNA
Rfam family: Bacterial small subunit ribosomal RNA
Source: RNAcentral
AGGAUGAACGCUGGCGGCGUGCCUAAUACAUGUAAGUCGAACGGGGACUUUGUAUUCGUACAAAGCCCUAGUGGCGAACGGGUGAGUAACGCGUUGGUGACCUGCCCCGAAGAGAGGGACAACAGCUCGAAAGGGCUGCUAAUACCUCAUGUGGUCGUAAGAGUUAGAGGUCUUACGUCUAAAUGGAGCAAUCCGCUUCGGGAGGGGCCUGCGUCCCAUCAGCUUGUUGGUAGGGUAAUGGCCUACCAAGGCUACGACGGGUAGGGGACCUGAGAGGGUGGCCCCCCACACUGGCACUGAAACACGGGCCAGACACCUACGGGUGGCAGCAGUAGGGAAUAUUGCACAAUGGGCGAAAGCCUGAUGCAGCAACGCCGCGUGCACGAUGAAGGCCUUCGGGUCGUAAAGUGCUUUUCGGGGAGAUGAGAAUGGACAGUAUCCCCGGAAUAAGGAUCGGCUAACUACGUGCCAGCAGCCGCGGUAAAACGUAGGAUCCGAGCGUUAUCCGAAUUUACUGGGCGUAAAGCGCAUGCAGGCGGUUCGGUAAGUUGGAUGUGAAAUCUCCUGGCUCAACUGGGAGAGGUCGUUCAAUACUGUCGGACUAGAGGGUGGUAGAGGGAGGUGGAAUUCCCGGUGUAGUGGUGAAAUGCGUAGAUAUCGGGAGGAACACCUGUGGCGAAAGCGGCCUCCUGGACCAUUCCUGACGCUCAGAUGCGAAAGCUAGGGGAGCGAACGGGAUUAGAAACCCCGGUAGUCCUAGCUGUAAACGAUGUGGACUUGGCGUUGGUGGGGUAAAAGCCAUCAGUGCCGAAGCUAACGCGAUAAGUCCACCGCCUGGGGACUACGGCCG